Molecule: ribosomal RNA, 439 nt
Filed under: uncultured bacterium
Lineage: Bacteria
Description: partial 16S ribosomal RNA
Rfam family: Bacterial small subunit ribosomal RNA
Source: RNAcentral
CCUACGGGGGGCAGCAGUGGGGAAUAUUGGACAAUGGGGGGAACCCUGAUCCAGCGACGCCGCGUGAGUGAAGAAGUAUUUCGGUAUGUAAAGCUCUAUCAGCAGGGAAGAAAAUGACGGUACCUGACUAAGAAGCCCCGGCUAACUACGUGCCAGCAGCCGCGGUAAUACGUAGGGGGCAAGCGUUAUCCGGAUUUAUUGGGUUUAAAGGGUGCGUAGGCGGACUGUUAAGUCAGCGGUAAAAGCCCGGGGCUAAACCCCGGCGAGCCGUUGAAACUGGCUGUCUUGAGAUGUCGAGAGGUAUGCGGAAUGCGCGGUGUAGCGGUGAAAUGCUUAGAUAUUGCGCAGAACUCCGAUUGCGAAGGCAGCAUACGGGCGGCGAUCUGACGCUGAGGCACGAAAGCGUGGGUAUCGAACAGGAUUAGAUACCCCUGUAGUC